AUUAGUUUUUUAAUUGAAAACUGGAAUGAAUGGUUGAACAAAAAAUAAUCUGUCUUAAUUUUAAAAAUAGAAUUUUACUUUUAAGUGAAAAGGCUUAAAUAUAUUAAAGGGACGAUAAGACCCUAUAAAAUUUUAUAAAAAAAAAUAGAUUUUAAAUUAAGAAAUAAAGAAUUUUAUUUUUAAUUUAUUAUGUUGGGGUGACGGAAAUAAAAUAAGUAAUUGUUUAAUAUAUUAAAUAAAUAUUUUUAGUAUAAUUGAUCCUUAUUAAAGAUUAUAAGUAAAAGUUACUUUAGGGAUAACAGCGUAGUUUUUUUGAGAGUUCUUAUCGACAAGAAUAAUUACGACCUCGAUGUUGAAUUAAAAUUUCAUUAAGGUGAAGCAGUUUUAAUAGUAGGUCUGUUCGACCUAUAAAAUUUUA
Molecule: ribosomal RNA, 418 nt
Filed under: Psathyrocaris infirma
Lineage: Eukaryota; Metazoa; Arthropoda; Malacostraca; Decapoda; Pasiphaeidae
Description: partial 16S ribosomal RNA
Rfam family: Bacterial large subunit ribosomal RNA (bases 295-418)
Source: RNAcentral